CAAGCGUUGUUCGGAUUUACUGGGCGUAAAGGGCGCGUAGGCGGCACUGCAAGUCAGUUGUGAAAUCUCCGGGCUUAACCCGGAAAGGUCAACUGAUACUGCAGGGCUAGAGUGCAGAAGGGGCAACUGGAAUUCUCGGUGUAGCGGUGAAAUGCGUAGAUAUCGAGAGGAACACCUGCGGCGAAGGCGGGUUGCUGGGCUGACACUGACGCUGAGGCGCGAAAGCCAGGGGAGCGAACGGG
Molecule: ribosomal RNA, 242 nt
Filed under: uncultured bacterium
Lineage: Bacteria
Description: partial 16S ribosomal RNA
Rfam family: Bacterial small subunit ribosomal RNA
Source: RNAcentral